RNAcentral lists this ribosomal RNA (497 nucleotides) under uncultured bacterium. RNAcentral's name for it is "partial 16S ribosomal RNA". It matches the Rfam family "Bacterial small subunit ribosomal RNA", at positions 28 to 507 of the family's 1533-position model. The record is from RNAcentral.
GAUGAACGCUGGCGGCGUGCCUAAUACAUGCAAGUCGAGCGAACAGACGAGGAGCUUGCUCCUCUGACGUUAGCGGCGGACGGGUGAGUAACACGUGGAUAACCUACCUAUAAGACUGGGAUAACUUCGGGAAACCGGAGCUAAUACCGGAUAAUAUAUUGAACCGCAUGGUUCAAUAGUGAAAGACGGUUUUGCUGUCACUUAUAGAUGGAUCCGCGCCGCAUUAGCUAGUUGGUAAGGUAACGGCUUACCAAGGCAACGAUGCGUAGCCGACCUGAGAGGGUGAUCGGCCACACUGGAACUGAGACACGGUCCAGACUACUGCGGGAGGCAGCAGUAGGGAAUCUUCCGCAAUGGGCGAAAGCCUGACGGAGCAACGCCGCGUGAGUGAUGAAGGUCUUCGGAUCGUAAAACUCUGUUAUUAGGGAAGAACAAAUGUGUAAGUAACUAUGCACGUCUUGACGGUACCUAAUCAAAAAGCCACGGCUAACUACGUG